UAAAAUAAUUGAGAACACAGGAUGU
Molecule: non-coding RNA, 25 nt
Filed under: Rattus norvegicus (Norway rat)
Lineage: Eukaryota; Metazoa; Chordata; Mammalia; Rodentia; Muridae
Source: RNAcentral